Molecule: long non-coding RNA, 227 nt
Filed under: Olea europaea (common olive)
Lineage: Eukaryota; Viridiplantae; Streptophyta; Magnoliopsida; Lamiales; Oleaceae
Description: long non-coding RNA (OEUR_LNC000252)
Source: RNAcentral
GUAGGGGGCUUGUGCCUUCGAAAUUGCUCGACCACUGAAGCAUGGUUUGGAACAUUAGGAGCUAGUGGUAGGGGUUGAGCUUGGUUCGGGUUUUGCCUACCUAGGUCUUGAACCGCUCGGAGGAGGUCUCUUAUCAAGUUUUGGUUUGCGCGGGCCAUUUCCUUUAGACAAAACAUAUGGUUCUUAUUAGUUUCAUUCUUCGAAUACUAAAGCAAAGAAGAUAGUAU